This 30-nucleotide non-coding RNA is filed under the name Mus musculus (house mouse). The record is from RNAcentral. Lineage: Eukaryota; Metazoa; Chordata; Mammalia; Rodentia; Muridae.
UGAUGCAGAUAACGUUUGGUGUUGCAACGU